Molecule: ribosomal RNA, 1487 nt
Filed under: uncultured prokaryote
Description: partial 16S ribosomal RNA
Rfam family: Bacterial small subunit ribosomal RNA
Source: RNAcentral
AGAGUUUGAUCCUGGCUCAGGAUGAACGCUAGCGGCAGGCCUAAUACAUGCAAGUCCAGGGGCAGCACGAGGACUUGUAGUUGGUGGCGACCGGCGCACGGGUGCGUAACGCGUAUGCAACCUACCUAUAACUGGGGAAUAGCCCCGAGAAAUCGGGAUUAAUACCUCAUAAUAAUACUUUUUGGCAUGUUGAUUAGAUCAAAGAUUUAUCGGUUCAAGAGGGGUAUGCGUGACAUUAGCUAGUUGGUGAGGUAACGGCCCACCAAGGCUACGAUGUCUAGGGGUUCUGAGAGGAUGAUCCCCCACACUGGUACUGAGACACGGACCAGACUCCUACGGGAGGCAGCAGUGAGGAAUAUUGCGCAAUGGAGGAAACUCUGACGCAGCCAUGCCGCGUGAAGGAAUGAAGCCCUAUGGGUUGUAAACUUCUUUUAUAUGGGAAGAAACUUUUCUACUUGUAGAAAACUGACGGUACCAUACGAAUAAGCACCGGCUAACUCCGUGCCAGCAGCCGCGGUAAUACGGAGGGUGCAAGCGUUAUCCGGAUUCAUUGGGUUUAAAGGGUACGUAGGCGGAUAAAUAAGUCAGUGGUGAAAUCUCUCGGCUCAACCGAGAAACUGCCAUUGAUACUGGAAGUCUUGAGUUUAGAUGAAGUAGGCGGAAUAUGUCAUGUAGCGGUGAAAUGUAUAGAUAUGACAUAGAACACCGAUAGCGAAGGCAGCUUACUAAUCUAUAACUGACGCUUAUGCACGAAAGCGUGGGUAGCAAACAGGAUUAGAUACCCUGGUAGUCCACGCUGUAAACGAUGUUCACUCGUUGUUGGCGAUACAUAGUCAGCGACUAAGCGAAAGUGAUAAGUGAACCACCUGGGGAGUACGAUCGCAAGGUUGAAACUCAAAGGAAUUGACGUGGGCCCGCACAUGCGGCGGAGCAUGUGGUUUAAUUCGAUGAUACGCGAGGAACCUUACCUGGGCUCAAAUGUAGAUUGACAGUUUUUGAAAACAGAUCUCCCUUCCGGACAUUUUACAAGGUGCUGCAUGGUUGUCGUCAGCUCGUGCCGUGAGGUGUCGGGUUAAGUCCCAUAACGAGCGCAACCCCUAUCCUUAGUUGCCAUCAGAUAAUGCUGGGGACUCUAAGGAAACUGCCUACGCAAGUAGUGAGGAAGGUGGGGAUGACGUCAAAUCAGCACGGCCCUUAUGUCCAGGGCUACACACGUGCUACAAUGGUCGGUACAGAGGGUCGCUACCUGGUGACAGGAUGCUAAUCUCAAAAACCGGUCUCAGUUCGGAUCGAAGUCUGCAACUCGACUUCGUGAAGUUGGAUUCGCUAGUAAUCGCAUAUCAGCAAUGGUGCGGUGAAUACGUUCCCGGGCCUUGUACACACCGCCCGUCAAGCCAUGGGAGCUGGGGGUACCUGAAGACGGUGACUUAACAGAGAGCUGUCUAGGGUAAAACUGGUAACUGGGGCUAAGUCGUAACAAGGUAACC